This 300-nucleotide unclassified non-coding RNA is filed under the name uncultured Ascomycota. RNAcentral's name for it is "sequence contains ITS1". The stretch from base 1 to 105 matches the Rfam family "5.8S ribosomal RNA", at positions 50 to 154 of the family's 154-position model. Lineage: Eukaryota; Fungi; Ascomycota. The record is from RNAcentral.
GAAAUGCGAUAAGUAAUGUGAAUUGCAGAAUUCAGUGAAUCAUCGAAUCUUUGAACGCACAUUGCGCCCGCUAGUAUUCUGGCGGGCAUGCCUGUUCGAGCGUCAUUUCAACCAUCAAGCCCCCGGCUUGUGUUGGGGUCCUGCGGCCGUCCGCAGCCCCCGAAAUGCAGUGGCGGUCUCGUUGUCACACCGAGUGCAGUAAUUUUUAUUCACUGGGGCGUGGCGGCGGGUUCCAGCCGUGAAACAACCAAACUUAUCAAGGUUGACCUCGGAUCAGGUAGGAAUACCCGCUGAACUUAA